AGACGCAUCUUUAUCCAUAUUUUUAGUUAUUGACAGCUGACAAACGACGACACGUCUCCACCUCAAAAUUCAUUAUGUGACCUCUUAAACAAGUUUAAGAUUUCAACCGGUCUAUCUCUUUAUUUACCCCUUUUUUCUAAGACCUCCUCAAACGUUCCCCGAUGAUUUAGAUAAAGAAAUUCUAGACAACAUAGCCGAAGGGGCUAUUUGCAAAGUAGUAGAAAUGAGUUCCUCAUAUUCAAAUUCCUCCAAUAGCAACAACAAUGGGUGAUGCCACUAGCACCCGCACCAUCUAUGGUCGUCCAUACGACUAUGACCCAGGACACGCCAUCAAGACUUUUGAAGGGCAAAUAAAAGAUAAUUGAACUAGACAGCGCAUCUUUCAAAUCUAGAAAGGGUAAAAAAAGAUUAUCGAUAUUGAUAUGGAACUUCCUAACACAACGACUCUUCUCCUCCCCAUACAAAAGAUUCUAAUUGUGAGGCAUCUAAAGAGGAGCCAGAGACGCGACCUUCGAAGACUUAGCAAAUGAAGACAUUGUUAUGAAGGAAAAAGCCGAGUUUCAGGACGCACUUUCUAAAAAGACCCCGGAAACUUUUCCCGAACUUUAUGAACAUCCCCCUAUCGAAGAAUGGAAGGAGAAAUCACGAAGAUAGAAACAUAUCAUCUUCCAAAAAAUAUCGAAGAUAAACAAAGAAUGAAGAAAAACUGACAUGUGGAGACCAGACCUCCAUCAUUUCUUGGAAAGAAUUAGAAUAGGUGAUGGACUACUACGAGUUGAAGAGAAAAUUUAUAGCCCCCUAUUAGGAAGGAAACCACAC
This 819-nucleotide long non-coding RNA is filed under the name Daucus carota (carrot). Its description in RNAcentral is "long non-coding RNA (DCAR_LNC006178)". The record is from RNAcentral. Lineage: Eukaryota; Viridiplantae; Streptophyta; Magnoliopsida; Apiales; Apiaceae.